CGCGUAGGUGGUAGUGUAAGUCUGGGGUGGAAUCCCAGGGCUCAACCCUGGAACUGCCUUGGAAACUGCAUUACUUGAGUCAGUGAGGGGAGGGUAGAAUUCCUGGUGUAGCGGUGAAAUGCGUAGAUAUCAGGAGGAAGGCCUGUGGCGAAGGCGGCCCUCUGGCGCUGGACUGACACUGAGGCGCGAAAGCGUGGGGAGCAAACAGGAUCAGAUACCCUGGUAGUCCACGCCCUAAACGGUGGGCACUAGGUGUAGGGCUCGUAAGGGUUCUGUGCCGAAGGGAAACCAUUAAGUGCCCCGCCUGGGGAGUACGGCCGCAAGGUUGAA
This 330-nucleotide ribosomal RNA is filed under the name uncultured bacterium. RNAcentral's name for it is "bacterial SSU rRNA". It matches the Rfam family "Bacterial small subunit ribosomal RNA", at positions 568 to 898 of the family's 1533-position model. The record is from RNAcentral.